This 117-nucleotide small nucleolar RNA is filed under the name Echinops telfairi (small Madagascar hedgehog). Its description in RNAcentral is "Small nucleolar RNA SNORA61 (ENSETEG00000026762.1)". Lineage: Eukaryota; Metazoa; Chordata; Mammalia; Afrosoricida; Tenrecidae. The record is from RNAcentral.
UCCCUCCAGAUUCCUUAGCUCUCAAACCAAAACAGUGGUCUGAGCAGUUAAAGAAAAAGGAGGAAAGUGAACCUGAAGUGGACUUGGAGUCUUGUGACAAGUUCGCUUCAAACAAUA